Small nuclear RNA from Hyaena hyaena (striped hyena), 107 nucleotides. The record is from RefSeq and is a predicted model, not a curated record. Lineage: Eukaryota; Metazoa; Chordata; Mammalia; Carnivora; Hyaenidae.
GUGCUCACUUUGGCAGCACACGUACUAAAACUGGAACGAGACGGAGAAUAUUAGCAAAGCCUCUGUGCAAGGAUGAUACCCAAGUUUGUGAAGCAUUCCAUACUUUU